AUGGCCAUUUAUAGAAACACUAUAUACAGUUAAUCUCAUCAUCAUUUGUCACUGAAUGCCGUUGCAGCGCACAGUUCCACAGCUGCUCAAAAAAAAAAAAAAAAAAAAAAAAAAAAGCCCACUAUUUGAAUGUCCAGUGGGAAGUGGGAAAAGUCCGUGUUGGGGGUGAGUGUGUGCAGUGGAUGUGUGGUCCGUGCGUGUGUGGCAAAAGGGCAAGAGUUAGAAAGAGGAGUGGCUGCACAAUGGAGCCUCCUACCAGCCCGACUACUGCAGUGGAGGUCAUUCGAUAACAAGGUGGGAUUCCUCUGCAGAGAUUGAAGCAGCUUCACUUGUCAGCAAACAGACGGGAUCAUCGCUUUGUACUGGAGCCCUGUUAUCUCUGACUAUGUGAUAAGGAACUCCACAGAGUUUCCCUAUCUGGAGGAAGAAGAAAGACAGACCUGAAUGUCAGGGAUUGUUUCUGUCUUGGCCAACAUCUCCACACCAACACCACACCAGGUGAUCUCAAAAGAAAGCCAAUCCCUGAGGAGUCCUUCAUGUCUCAAUCGGGGUUCGCAUUCAAAUGACGGUGCAUCCUGAGCCAUCCGGAUGGCACCAAGGCACGGAAACAAUAUUCAUUCUGAACCUUUCCUUUUUAAGUACAAGCAAGCCAAUUCAGUCUUGUGUAAGCAAUUUAUUCUGCAGUGCUGAUACAGCUAAGUGAUGUGAUACAUCUCAUACAAGGAAAUUACAAUCUUUUUGAAAUGUAGGCGCCUUGAUUCACAGUACAUGUAUAUCACUGAUUCUUGAGAAUUUGGAGAAAAACUGGUUUUAAUUUUGAAAAUACAAAAAAUCCAACAUUAAGAAAUCUGUACUUAUAUGUUUAUAGAGCAAAUUCUCAGCAAUCAGCUAAUGACUCGGUGUAACCUCCUGACUUGAAUUUUUUCAUAAAAUGUCUGUUUUUCAGUUCAUUACUUCAUUUUUGCCAGCACACUCAGACACAAAAAAAGCGCAUUAUUCCCAUUUAUUUAGUGUGAUAUAGAUUUAGAGCCGUUUGAAGAAUGUGCCUUAACCUUAAGUGCACAAUGAUUUUGUUAAAUGUUCAAUAUUCUGUUUUAAUCACUUUUUAUGCUGUUUUACGUGUGCACUUUGAAAACUCCUACAUUAUGUGAGUCUUAUAAUUUGAAUUAAAUAUGAAAAAUAACAGUUCUGAACAUAAAUUAAUACAGUUUUGAUUUAAAAAAAAAAAUGUUCCU
Molecule: long non-coding RNA, 1235 nt
Organism: Mugil cephalus (flathead mullet)
Lineage: Eukaryota; Metazoa; Chordata; Actinopteri; Mugiliformes; Mugilidae
Exons: 4
Source: RefSeq, a predicted model, not a curated record